This is a long non-coding RNA of Ictalurus punctatus (channel catfish), 396 nucleotides long. The record is from Ensembl. Lineage: Eukaryota; Metazoa; Chordata; Actinopteri; Siluriformes; Ictaluridae.
UGACAAGACACAUUUUGAAUUUAAUUACGUGUUCAAGGAUGCUCGUGCUGAGGGAAAAAAAGUAGAACUACCACCACCUUGUGUACACACACCUCCCUGCAGUGUGUGUGUGUGUGUGUGUGUGCGUGUGUGUAUGGUGAAGUUUCUGUGUGUGUGUUUGUGUGUGUGUGUGUGUGUGUGUGUGUGUGUGUGUGUGUGUGUGUGUGUGUGUGUGUGAGUGUGUGUGUGUGUGUGUGUGUGUUAUUAAGCCACAGCAGAAUCUCAGCAGUGACUCACUGAAGGUGGACUAGUCUCAUCACACACUCAUCUCUCAGCAGGUAAUUUUCCUCUCUCGUCUCGUCAAGAGGAUCUACUGCGUGUCUUGAUUUCUUAUCAAUCAGAAAGUGAACCUGUGAA